Long non-coding RNA from Alosa alosa (allis shad), 239 nucleotides. RefSeq lists it as uncharacterized. The transcript has 3 exons. The record is from RefSeq and is a predicted model, not a curated record. Lineage: Eukaryota; Metazoa; Chordata; Actinopteri; Clupeiformes; Clupeidae.
UCCACAGGCCGUCCUUCUCUCGGAUGUGAUCGGAGCCUGGACAUUACAUCAGAGGGGGACAGAAGGGCGAAACUCUGCACUCAUGAAAGAACAUGUCCUGAGGCUAGACAAGUGGGUGGUCUACUCUCUGGCCGAAUGGGAUCUCCAUCUUUCAGGUGUGUUUGACUGCUACCUGUCGAUGGCGGUGCUGGUGGGCAUGCUGCGGGCAAAGCCCCGGACGCCCGACUGGCGGAAGUAGG